This 253-nucleotide ribosomal RNA is filed under the name uncultured bacterium. RNAcentral describes it as "partial 16S ribosomal RNA". It matches the Rfam family "Bacterial small subunit ribosomal RNA", at positions 524 to 776 of the family's 1533-position model. The record is from RNAcentral.
UACGUAGGGGGCAAGCGUUGUCCGGAAUCAUUGGGCGUAAAGCGCGUGUAGGCGGUCCGGUAAGUCCGCUGUGAAAGUCGGGGGCUCAACCCUCGGAUGCCGGUGGAUACUGUCGGGCUUGAGUACGGAAGAGGCGAGUGGAAUUCCUGGUGUAGCGGUGAAAUGCGCAGAUAUCAGGAGGAACACCAAUUGCGAAGGCGGCUCGCUGGGACGUUACUGACGCUGAGGCACGAAAGCGUGGGGAGCAAACAGG